AUUGGGGGUUAAAAAUUAAUAAAUAAAAUAUUUAAUAAAAAAAAUUUUAAUAUAAAAUAUUUAAUGGGGGUUAAAGUAUUUUAAUAGAAAAAAUUUUUUAAUUUAUAGUAUAAUAGUAUUGUGAAAGAAUUUUGAAAUAAAGUUGAAAAUUAAUUUUUAAUAAAGUAAAUUUAAAUUAUUGUAUCUUGUGUAUCAGAGUUUAUUAAUUAUUUUUUAUAUUAUUAAAUUUCUCGAAUUUAAAAGAGUUAAUUAAUUAAAAAAUUUAUUGUUUCAUAAAUAUUUUAAAUAAUUAAUUUGAAAUGAAAUGUUAUUCGUUUUUAAAUAUAUCUAGUUUUUUUAGAAAAAAAUUAAAUUUUUAAUUUGAUUAUAAAUUAAAUUUAUUAAAUAAAUUUAAUUUAUAAUCAAAUUUAAUAUUUUAAGGGAUAAGCUUUAAAUUAAAUUUUUAUAUGUAAAAUAAAUUUAAAAUAAAAUUUUUAUAAUUUAAAUUGUUAAUAAAUUUUAAUUUAUUAUAAAUAAUUUUAUUAGAAUUAAAAUUUAAUUUAAAAUUAAUUUUUUAUAAAAAAAUGUUUUUUAAUUUAAUAAAAUUAGUUAUAAUGAUAAAAUUAGUAUAUAAGAUUAAAAUAAAUAUAUUUAUUUUAUGGAAAGUAUUUUAAAGGAAUUCGACAAAAUAAUAUAUUCACCUGUUUACCAAAAACAUGUCUUUUUGAAAAUAAUUUAAAGUCUAAUCUGCCCACUGAUUUUUAAUUAAAGGGCUGCAGUAUUUUGACUGUACAAAGGUAGCAUAAUCAUUAGUCUCUUAAUUGGUGACUUGUAUGAAAGAUUGGAUGAAAUAUAAAUUGUCUCUAAAAUAAUUAAAUUGAAUUUAAUUUUUUAAUUAAAAAGUUAAAAUGAGUUAAAAAGACGAGAAGACCCUAUAGAGUUUUAUAUUUAUUUUUUUUUUAAUAUUAUUAGUUAAAUAAUAUAAUUUAAAGAAUUAAAAGUAUUUUAUUGGGGUGAUAAAAAAAUUAAUUUAACUUUUUGUUAAUUAAAACAAUGAUAUUUGAAUUUUUGAUCCAUUAUUAUUGAUUAUAAGAAUAAAUUACCUUAGGGAUAACAGCGUAAUUUUUUUUUUUAGUUCAUAUAAGAAGAAGAGUUUGCGACCUCGAUGUUGGAUUAAGAUAAAAUAUAAAUGCAAAAGUUUAAAAUUUUUGAUCUGUUCGAUCAUUAAAAUCUUACAUGAUCUGAGUUCAAACCGGUGUAAGCCAGGUUGGUUUCUAUCUUUUGAAAAUUUUAAUAUUUUAGUACGAAAGGAUCAAAUAUUAUAAUUAAAUUAAUUUUUUUUUGAAUUUUAUUAAGUUAUAAUUAAAUUUAUA
RNAcentral lists this ribosomal RNA (1352 nucleotides) under Craspedortha porphyria. Its description in RNAcentral is "16S ribosomal RNA". Lineage: Eukaryota; Metazoa; Arthropoda; Insecta; Lepidoptera; Sphingidae. The record is from RNAcentral.